GCCCCCAUCGUCUAGCGGUUAGGACAGCGCUCUUUCAAGGCGUAAACACCGGUUCGACUCCGGUUGGGGGCG
This 72-nucleotide transfer RNA is filed under the name Patescibacteria group bacterium. Its description in RNAcentral is "tRNA-Glu". It matches the Rfam family "tRNA". Rfam says of the family: Transfer RNA (tRNA) molecules are approximately 80 nucleotides in length. Their secondary structure includes four short double-helical elements and three loops (D, anti-codon, and T loops). The record is from RNAcentral.